CCUUCGGGCGGCAGCAGUGGGGAAUAUUGGACAAUGGGGGCAACCCUGAUCCAGCCAUGCCGCGUGUGUGAAGAAGGCCCUCGGGUUGUAAAGCACUUUCAGUGAGGAAGAACGCCUGGUGGUUAAUACCCAUCAGGAAAGACAUCACUCACAGAAGAAGCACCGGCUAACUCCGUGCCAGCAGCCGCGGUAAUACGGAGGGUGCGAGCGUUAAUCGGAAUUACUGGGCGUAAAGCGCGCGUAGGUGGCUUGAUAAGCCGGUUGUGAAAGCCCCGGGCUCAACCUGGGAACGGCAUCCGGAACUGUCAAGCUAGAGUGCAGGAGAGGAAGGUAGAAUUCCCGGUGUAGCGGUGAAAUGCGUAGAGAUCGGGAGGAAUACCAGUGGCGAAGGCGGCCUUCUGGACUGACACUGACACUGAGGUGCGAAAGCGUGGGUAGCAAACAGGAUUAGAUACCCUUGUAGUC
RNAcentral lists this ribosomal RNA (465 nucleotides) under Vreelandella stevensii. Its description in RNAcentral is "partial 16S ribosomal RNA". It matches the Rfam family "Bacterial small subunit ribosomal RNA", at positions 338 to 795 of the family's 1533-position model. The record is from RNAcentral. Lineage: Bacteria; Pseudomonadati; Pseudomonadota; Gammaproteobacteria; Oceanospirillales; Halomonadaceae.